CAACAAUGGAUCAUAUAUCGAGUGCGGGAGAGAGUAUGAGCGUGCAGCGUUUAAAGCGUGGAAGUACUGACCUUACUUUGAGUUUGAUUCCAUAAAAAGUGACAAAAACAUUAGUGUCCGUUGUGCUUGAGAAGAAAACUUCUUUUUACAGUGAAAAAAACCCCCUAAACUUCCAAGCAAGCAGCGAGUGCGCUACGACGUAAUGGGAAACUCACAGAGAAACUCGCGGAUUCUUCCACUGACCGCUGCGGCACACCUGCACCAGGGUAAACCUCCGCCUACCCCAGUCCUGCUUUACAGACCUUGCUACCUUGCAGAGAGAUGACCCCACGAUUAGUGGCUUUCUGACCUACUCGCCAGGAGAGGAGAGAUUUGCCAGCAGCAGUGCUAGAAAUGUUGCGCCAGUUGAGGAAGCUGGUAGAGAAGGAGGGGGUCCUCUAUCGGAUGCACUCUGAUCAGGGGAGGAGUUUUGAAGGAGCAGUAGUUCAGCAGCUGUGCCAGUUAUAUGGUGUGGAAAAGACUCGCACCACUCCAUACCACCCACAAGGUAAUGGCCACUGUGAGCGUUUUAAUCAGACUUUGCAUGAUCUGUUGAGAACCUUGCCCCCUGAGCAAAAGCGUCAUUGGCCCAUGUAUUUACAGCAGCUUACGUUUGCCUACAAUACCACGAUCCAUCAAACUACAGAUGAGUCACCCUAUUUUCUUAUGUUUGGCCAAGAGCCCCAGCUCCCAACUGACUUCCUGUUAGGCCGAAUAGAGGAACCCAC
This is a long non-coding RNA of Oreochromis aureus, 767 nucleotides long. The record is from Ensembl. Lineage: Eukaryota; Metazoa; Chordata; Actinopteri; Cichliformes; Cichlidae.